RNAcentral lists this small RNA (1084 nucleotides) under Oryza sativa Japonica Group (Japanese rice). RNAcentral describes it as "sRNA Os07g0626466". The record is from RNAcentral. Lineage: Eukaryota; Viridiplantae; Streptophyta; Magnoliopsida; Poales; Poaceae.
GGAUGGAUGGGAUCAAAUCCUCUUUACACUACUCGAGUUACCAACCAAACAAACCCUGGCUACAAGGCUCUGGAAAACCCACAGAAAAAAUUGGGAUGAACGAAAAAUCGGUUACAUGUACACGGGAAAUUAAAACGAAACUCACACGGUUAUGGAACACAGAUCGUCACAGACCGUCUUCAUGUUAGGCCUCUCAUUUACAGGAAGAAUACACCUAAGAGAGAUCGCAAGCAGCUCGUCCAUCACCCUUGGAGAUUCUUCCAAGCCCGUGAUGUCUCGAUCGAAACAAUCAGUUCCCCGUCCUUCCCUGUUGCACAUUUGAACCCAGUCGGUCAGAUCAACGGCCCCAGAUUGACCCGAAAUUAUGUCCCCGGCACUCUUCCGCGUCAACAUCUCCAUAACAAUCACCCCAAACGCGUAAACGUCAGCUUUAAAUGAUGGCAUUGGCUUGGCUGUGUUUGCCAGUUCUGGGGCUCUGUACCCCAAUGCCCCUAAGUUAAGUAUUUGCUCAGCAGUGCCACUUGGAGUCAUGAACCGAUGCAGGCCAUAAUCGACUAGCUUCGGGGAGAGAUCAGGACCCGUCAAGAAUAUAUUGGUUGGCUUUAGGUUGCCAUGAGGCAGACCCUUCUCAUGGUGCAAGAACUGGAGGCAGCGUGCCAGGUCGAUGGCAAUUUUGAGCCGUUGAGAAACUGACAAGCGGGAGUAUCUUCUUGGAUUACCAUAAAGAUAAAGAGCCAAGCUGUCGCCAUUGACGUAGUCAGAAAUAAUGAGUCUUUCUUGCUCCUUAGGACCCCAGUAGAAAGCUCUCCACGAAAUUAUAUUUGGAUGCCUGAUGGUCCCAAUCCUCUUUAUCUCCUUAGUGAAGUCCUUUUUAUGCUUUACGAGGCCAACACGCAGCCACUUCACUGUCAGGACAUGGCCGCUUUGUAGUGCAGCUUUGUAUGUCGUGCCAUGACUGCUCCUUCCAAGAACCUCUGCUGGUGCUCGGGACAGGUCUUCAGCUGUGAAAACCAAAGUGCUGUCUAGGAAAAUCAAUUCUCCGACCAACCGAUCGGGUGAGUACACUUCAAAUGCCACAGGUUCC